AUUAUGCAGUCCACAAAUCUCAGGUCCGGUGCCGCUGAACGUUUUUUAAAACUUGGAAUUGGCGCCGCGUCAAAUCCUCAGCAUCCCCCGGAAUCGGAAUCGGAAUCGGGGAACGUGCCCAAGUCCCAUUUUAAGAAGACAGUUUGUUUGGCUGAUUGGUGGUUGACAAAAGUUGAAACUGGCUUCCAAAGGAGGGGACUUGCCGUCGCUGGGUUUAGUUCUCGAGAGAAACAAGCCUUGAGAGUUUUUUCAUCUGCGCCAAUCCUUAAGAGAUAUGAUAUAUUUACUCUUGAGACAUCUGAUGGGAUAUGUGUAAUCUUGAAAGGUUUUAUAAACAAAGCUCAGACUUUGGAAAAUGGGUUUCCAUCUGAUGUAUGCAAUCAUUUUGUUUUUGGCUUUCCACCUAACUGGAAGGACUAUGAUGAACAGUGCAAGCAUAAAAAAUCUUCCCCUGACAACAUUUCCGGAGUUGACCUUUACAAUAAUUUAUCUUUCAAAUCUCAAGGUGUGAAUCACUUUGAAGAUGGGUGCGAAAAUUUUGUGGGAUCUAAAGAUGGAAUGAAUGCUAAGGAUGUAAAAAAAAACAAAAAACCUAGUGUAGCAGCUCCAUAUUCCGAGAAACCUGCCAAUGUGGUCUCUGAGGGUAACUUAAAUAUGCCUUCCAUUUCCUGUGGAAUCACCGGACAAGAAUCUUUGGCCGAUGCUCAAUAUGUUCCACAAGGUAUAAAGAGAAGGAUAGAGUUGGAUGCUGAUUCAGUUAAAAAUGAUCUUGGACAUAAUUUUGAGGCUCCUACGCAGCAUUCAAAGAAUAUGCCUAAGCCUAAAGACAGAAAGAGUAAGAAGAAAAGUACAGUGACAAGACCACUCCGUGAGGGUACCUACAAGCAGAAAGUAGAUGCUGAUGCAAGUAUUUUGUCUGAGAGUGCUGGAGCAUCGGGGGCUAAGACUAAAAGAAGAGAAUAUAAAACACCUGACGUAGGACAUGAACAAACUGGGCCUGCUUCUUCAAGUAGGCUAAUGAGUUGUACAAGAUCCAGAUCAGGGAGAUUGCUGAUGCCGACAUUGGAAUUUUGGCGCAAUGAAAGAGCGAUAUACAGUGUGGAUAGAACGGUUACUGGGUUUCAGAAAAGCAUGCGGUCGGAAGAGCUAAGAAAGGGAUGUAUAUUAAUCAUAUAAAAAAGGCAAGGAAAUCAUAAAGCAUAGAGCUAGAAAAAUGCACUAAGAAACUGAGAACAAAAUCUGUAAAAUGCAGCACGAAACCUCUUAUCCAUGUACAGAAAAAAGAAAUGGACGAAAAUUUUGCUAAAAUAUCAGAGCGAGUAAAAUCUUUCACCUCUCCUCAGUUUUGUGGUAAACAUAUAAGAUUUGCUUCAAGUUCAGAUGAUGAUCCCUCCGAAGAAGAUGAUACCUCUGAAGAUGCUGAAUAUGACACUACUCAAGUUGGGAACAAUACUGACAUCGGCCGUGUUCCCCUGUCAAAUGGAUUAGAUCGUGCAAGUAAUUGCCCCUAUCCAUCCGCAAAUGAAGAAAAGAAAAGGCUGGGGUUGAUAAAUGACAGUGACUCAAGGCUUCGUAGGCAUAGUGGUGCUGUAAGUCGCACUUCAGAUCAUGUGCCUCGGGAAAAGAGGAAAUAUGAGCAGAUCAGAUCAAGCAGAUCUUCUCCGGUGAAGGAGUCUAAACGGGAUAACACCAAUGCAAGUACCACGCAUAAGAGCCCUAACAAUGAAGUUUUAGGUGGUCCUUCUAUAUCUGCAGAGUCAUUAAGAAUGUUUGUUACACCUUGGAAAGAGGCCUGCCAAGUGAACAAUGCUGAUGAGCUUAUGUUUAUAAAGCUUGAAAUGCCGGAUAAUAUAUACAACACUUUUCACCAAACUUCUAGCGAGCACAGAAUGGAUGACACCCCAUGUGACAGUUCAACUGCUUAUAAGAGCAUUGAUGUUAAACGUACUGAGAGGAUCUUCCUGGAUCAACAUCAAAAGUUUGUGGCCGUGAUUAUGUUGCAGUCGAAGGUAUUAUGAAGAAAAAUUCUGAAUAUUUUGCGAAUGACAUCCCAAGCUACGAAGAUCUCUCUCUUGAACAUAGGUUCUGUUUCUUGAGGAAGCUUUGCAAAUGUGAGUAUUGGUUAAUGGAACAAUAUUCUGUUAACAAGUUUGACUCUCUUGGCUAUGGAGAAUAUUUUAUAUUUCUAGAGAAGUAUUUGCAUCUCUUGCCUCAGUCAUUACUGAAAUGCAUUAUAGGAGGCAUACCUGAGAGUGUUCGUUUGGAGGCACACUUGCUUCCAGAAAUGAAGUAAACGAGAGGAAUAUUCCUGAGUUGUUGGCAAGGCAAUUUCCAUUAGCAUCCUUCAAAUUAGUGAACUGUGACCUCAUUCCAACUUUACCAGAUAUUAUACGAGAAAAAUGGGAUAUUUUAACUUCAAACUCUGUAUUAUUUUCUACACCUUUAUUAAUAUCUCCAGCUCAAAAUGAGAAAACAUUAGAAUAACAGCGUUUGUUUGGUAUACACGAAACAAUGGUGGCUCGACAUGGGAGCAACAAGCCACAUCUGCAUGAAUAAGAAUCAUUUCUUCUCCUUCGAGCGUGUUGAAGGAGAAACAAUGUACAUGGGGAAUGUUGCUCCUGAUGAAGUCAAAGGGAGAGGAAAUAUGCUUUUGAUGAUGAUGUCCGGAAGAGUUUUGACACUGACCAACUUUCUGUAUGUGCCGGCGAUGACGAAGAAUUUGGUCUCGGGGACGCUCCUAAUGAAACAUAGCUUUAAUAUUAAUAUAAAUGGUGAUAAUUUUGUUUUGCGUAAAUCAUAAAGUUAUGUGGGUAAGGGUUAUGUAGAGGAUGAACUUUUGAAAUGGUGUAUUAUGAAUGUUAUUGAAAAUAAUAAUAAUAAGUAUGAUGCUUAUAUUGUUGA
Molecule: RNA transcript, 2901 nt
Organism: Andrographis paniculata
Lineage: Eukaryota; Viridiplantae; Streptophyta; Magnoliopsida; Lamiales; Acanthaceae
Gene name: kinetochore-associated protein KNL-2 homolog
Exons: 11
Source: RefSeq, a predicted model, not a curated record